CCUACGUGAGGCAGCAGUGAGGAAUAUUGGUCAAUGGGCGUAAGCCUGAACCAGCCAAGUCGCGUGAGGGAUGAAGGUUCUAUGGAUCGUAAACCUCUUUUAUAAGGGAAUAAAGUGUGGGACGUGUCCUAUUUUGUCUGUACCUUAUGAAUAAGGCUCGGCUAACUCCGUGCCAGCAGCCGCGGUCAUACGGAGGAUCCGAGCGUUAUCCGGAUUUAUUGGGUUUAAAGGGUGCGUAGGCGGCCUUUUAAGUCAGCGGUGAAAGUCUGUGGCUCAACCAUAGAAUUGCCGUUGAAACUGGGGGGCUUGAGUAUAGGUGAGGCAGGCGGAAUGCGUGGUGUAGCGGUGAAAUGCGUAGAUAUCACGCAGAACCCCGAUGGCGAAGGCGGCCUGCUAAGCCAUGACUGACGCUGAUGCACGAAAGCGUGGGGAUCAAACAGGAUUAGAUACCCGAGUAGUC
This 460-nucleotide ribosomal RNA is filed under the name uncultured bacterium. Its description in RNAcentral is "partial 16S ribosomal RNA". It matches the Rfam family "Bacterial small subunit ribosomal RNA", at positions 338 to 795 of the family's 1533-position model. The record is from RNAcentral.